UGGGGAAUUUUGGACAAUGGGCGCAAGCCUGAUCCAGCAAUGCCGCGUGCAGGAUGAAGGCCUUCGGGUUGUAAACUGCUUUUGUACGGAACGAAAAGCUUCUGGUUAAUACCUGGGAGUCAUGACGGUACCGUAAGAAUAAGCACCGGCUGACUACGUGCCAGCAGCCGCGGUAAUACGUAGGGUGCGAGCGUUAAUCGGAAUUACUGGGCGUAAAGCGUGCGCAGGCGGUUACGUAAGACAGAGGUGAAAUCCCCGGGCUCAACCUGGGAACUGCCUUUGUGACUGCAUGGCUAGAGUGCGGCAGAGGGGGAUGGAAUUCCGCGUGUAGCAGUGAAAUGCGUAGAUAUGCGGAGGAACGCCGAUGGCGAAGGCAAUCCCCUGGGCCUGCACUGACGCUCAUGCACGAAAGCGUGGGGAGCAAACA
Molecule: ribosomal RNA, 427 nt
Filed under: uncultured bacterium
Lineage: Bacteria
Description: bacterial SSU rRNA
Rfam family: Bacterial small subunit ribosomal RNA
Source: RNAcentral